This 440-nucleotide ribosomal RNA is filed under the name oil-susceptible bacterium OSB90. RNAcentral describes it as "bacterial SSU rRNA". It matches the Rfam family "Bacterial small subunit ribosomal RNA", at positions 407 to 864 of the family's 1533-position model. The record is from RNAcentral.
GACGAAGGCCUUAGGGUCGUAAAGCUCUUUCGCCAGAGAUGAUAAUGACAGUAUCUGGUAAAGAAACCCCGGCUAACUCCGUGCCAGCAGCCGCGGUAAUACGGAGGGGGUUAGCGUUGUUCGGAAUUACUGGGCGUAAAGCGUACGUAGGCGGAUUAGAAAGUAGGGGGUGAAAUCCCAGGGCUCAACCCUGGAACUGCCUCCCUAAACUACUAGUCUAGAGUUCGAGAGAGGUGAGUGGAAUUCCAAGUGUAGAGGUGAAAUUCGUAGAUAUUUGGAGGAACACCAGUGGCGAAGGCGGCUCACUGGCUCGAUACUGACGCUGAGGUACGAAAGUGUGGGGAGCAAACAGGAUUAGAUACCCUGGUAGUCCACACCGUAAACGAUGAAUGCCAGACGUCGGGGGGCUUGCCCUUCGGUGUCACACCUAACGGAUUAAG